This 513-nucleotide ribosomal RNA is filed under the name uncultured bacterium. RNAcentral describes it as "bacterial SSU rRNA". It matches the Rfam family "Bacterial small subunit ribosomal RNA", at positions 34 to 518 of the family's 1533-position model. The record is from RNAcentral.
CGCUGGCGGCGUGCCUAAUACAUGCAAGUCGAACGGUCUUUCUAUGGAAGCUUGCUUCCACUGAGAAGAUAGUGGCGAACGGGUGAGUAACGACGUGGGUAACCUGCCCAUAAGAGGGGGGAUAACAUCCGGAAACGGGUGCUAAUACCGCAUAGUUUUCUUGAUCGCGUGAUCGGGAAAGGAAAGACGGCCUUUGUGCUGUCGCUUAUGGAUGGACCCGCGGCGUAUUAGUUAGUUGGUGAGGUAACGGCUCACCAAGACGAUGAUACGUAGCCGACCUGAGAGGGUGAUCGGCCACAUUGGGACUGAGACACGGCCCAAACUCCUACGGGAGGCAGCAGUAGGGAAUCUUCCGCAAUGGACGAAAGUCUGACGGAGCAACGCCGCGUGAGUGAAGAAAGGUUUUCGGAUCGUAAAACUCUGUUGUCAGAGAAGAACAAGUUGGAGAGUAACUGCUCCAGCCUUGACGGUAUCUGACCAGAAAGCCACGGCUAACUACGUGCCAGCCGCUGC